ACUCCUACGGGAGGCAGCAGUGAGGAAUAUUGGUCAAUGGAGGGAACUCUGAACCAGCCAUCCCGCGUGUAGGAAGACGGCCUUAUGGGUUGUAAACUACUUUUAUACAGGAAGGAAACGUACCCUCAGUGAGGGGCCUGACGGUACUUGNAGGAAUAAGCACCGGCUAAACUCCGUGCCAGCGANCCGCGGUAAUACGGAGGGUGCGAGCGUUAUCCGGAUUUAUUGGGUUUAAAGGGUCCGUAGGCGGAUUAAUAAGUCAGUGGUGAAAUCCCAUCGCUUAACGAUGGAACUGCCAUUGAUACUGUUAGUCUUGAAGGGGUG
RNAcentral lists this ribosomal RNA (324 nucleotides) under uncultured bacterium. RNAcentral's name for it is "bacterial SSU rRNA". It matches the Rfam family "Bacterial small subunit ribosomal RNA", at positions 335 to 652 of the family's 1533-position model. The record is from RNAcentral.